ACGUAGGUGGCAAGCGUUAUCCGGAUUUACUGGGUGUAAAGGGCGUGUAGGCGGGACUGCAAGUCAGAUGUGAAAACUAUGGGCUCAACCCAUAGCCUGCAUUUGAAACUGUAGUUCUUGAGUGCUGGAGAGGCAAUCGGAAUUCCGUGUGUAGCGGUGAAAUGCAUAGAUAUACGGAGGAACACCAGUGGCGAAGGCGGAUUGCUGGACAGUAACUGACGCUGAGGCGCGAAAGCGUGGGGAGCAAACAGG
RNAcentral lists this ribosomal RNA (252 nucleotides) under uncultured bacterium. RNAcentral describes it as "partial 16S ribosomal RNA". It matches the Rfam family "Bacterial small subunit ribosomal RNA", at positions 525 to 776 of the family's 1533-position model. The record is from RNAcentral.